RNAcentral lists this transfer RNA (72 nucleotides) under Simkaniaceae bacterium. Its description in RNAcentral is "tRNA-Asn". It matches the Rfam family "tRNA". Rfam says of the family: Transfer RNA (tRNA) molecules are approximately 80 nucleotides in length. Lineage: Bacteria; Pseudomonadati; Chlamydiota; Chlamydiia; Parachlamydiales; Simkaniaceae. The record is from RNAcentral.
UCCGGAUUAGCUCAGCGGUAGAGCAGUGGACUGUUAAUCCAUUUGUCGUUGGUUCGAAUCCAUCAUCCGGAG